Molecule: small nucleolar RNA, 129 nt
Organism: Otolemur garnettii (small-eared galago)
Lineage: Eukaryota; Metazoa; Chordata; Mammalia; Primates; Galagidae
Source: Ensembl
GUGUACAUUCCACUGACAUGCUUUCUUUACAUGUGAGCAGUGUUAUUUCUUAUGUGCUGUACAAAUAGUUGAAGGUUAGUUAGCAGUAUAACUAUAAAUAGUAAUGCUACCAGUCUCCUUUAGGCAAGA